This 1359-nucleotide long non-coding RNA is filed under the name Vulpes vulpes (red fox). Its description in RNAcentral is "lncRNA (ENSVVUG00000007157.1)". The record is from RNAcentral. Lineage: Eukaryota; Metazoa; Chordata; Mammalia; Carnivora; Canidae.
AUUUUCAUUUGAAAAGCAGAAUAGUCCUUAAUUAUUUGAUGAGAAUCCUUAAUGUUCAUUCUCUUGUUGUUUAUUUUUUUUCCUUAGACGUCAACAAUCCGGGUAACUCUUGAAGUAUAUUGCAGAGUAGCACCAUUUCAUAUAGGGUGGGGCUGGGAAAGAAGAGCCAAGAUUGCCGGAGUGGUAGAGACGGCCAGAAACAGGCGGGUGUCCUGCAGGAGCAACACGUUGUUCGGUUACUGCCCGUCCUUCGAAAUGUCAUAGAGUCUUAAAAUAUGUGAGUUUGGUCACCGGGAGUUUUUCCUUAAAACCCUCACCUUAUUUCGCUAGUUUAUCUCACCAAAUAGCAUGUAUUUUCCAUGACAGGAAGCAGUUCAAAACAGUCACACAGGUGCCACAGGCCUUCCACAUUGAAAGGUCAGGAACACAAGUUAGAGGCACUGGCAUCCGAAUCAUCACCCGCUGGCGGCUUUGCGAAGGUAAAAUGUAAAUGCUUCCUUUGAACUCCAGCGGGCUCUCUUGGUGGGACCGGGGGGCGGGGGGGGGGUGUUUUUAGGGAGAUGUAUACAGACAUUCUGAACAGAGGGGUAAGGUCUGGUUUUAGGAGAAAAGAGGAAUUUUACGAUGAAUGAUUCUUUACCAUCUCCGAGGAGGAACUGUGAAAAAAACUAGCCAGGUGAUGAAGUAGAAGAGCGAAUAGUAUUAACGACUCCCUCUGUGUCCUGCCAGCUGAAGAACGCCGCGCCUGUCGCAGGAGAUGAUGAAGGAAGACGAGCCACAGACCAGCCUUCUUGCUUGGCCAGAAGCGAAACCUUGUGAAAGUGACCCAGAGAGGCCCCGUGGUUGGCCCGGCCCCGGCUCCCUGGCCUCGGGUGGGCCUGCGGAGGGUCCAGCAAGUGGUCCAGCAGGAGGCCCAGGAGGAUGUCCAGCAGGUGGCCCCGCAGGUCCUCUCCACAGCCUGCGUGAACCUGCAACGAGUAGAACUGAGGAAACCAAACUUACUUGGUUUCAGUCCUGCCUUCGCCGAGGGCCUCACACGGGCAGACUAAAAUGUGAUUUCGUCUCGGUUUGCUGUUCGGAGGGGAAGGAUGGCUGGGUGCUCUCCCCCGGGGUGCGCUCCUGGAGCCCGAGGCCUGGGGAAGCUGGUUCUUUCCGUUUGUGGAGUCGGGGUGGGGGGGGACACGGAAGCCCUGGGUGACUCUGAGGCUUGGGCAAGGCAUUCCGUGAGCUUCCGUGUCCCCCAAAGGGUCGAUGAUGGGAUAAGGAGCCCACGGGGCUGCUGCCCGAGCCAGAGAAGGUAAUCCUAACAACCACCCAAAUGUAUCAUCUUGGAAUAAAUUUCUAAGGAGUAAUUGUGCA